This 665-nucleotide ribosomal RNA is filed under the name Charinus ferreus. Its description in RNAcentral is "12S ribosomal RNA". The record is from RNAcentral. Lineage: Eukaryota; Metazoa; Arthropoda; Arachnida; Amblypygi; Charinidae.
UUGGUCUGUUGUGUUGGGAUCAUGUAGUACCUAAGGGGCGGGUGGUAAAUGGUGUGCCAGCUACCGCGGUUAUACAUUGGGCCUGGAGUGGAGUGGGUGAGGAGAUUGUGCGUGGGGUGUGGGGAAUAAGGUUGUGUUGUAGUGGAGGUUAGGUGAAAUUAUCUUUUUGGUGGGGCCUUGUUGUAUGGGCUAGGUGUGUGGAAAAUUUUUAAUGAGACUAGGAUUAGAUACCCUAUUAUUGAAAUCGUGUUGUUAGGUAGUAGAAGAAAGACUAGAAACCUAAAAUUUUUGGCGGUCUGUUAGGCUAGUUAGAGGAACCUGCCCUUUUAUGGAUGGUCCUCCUUAGAUUUUACUUUUUCUGGUUUUAAAGCUUAAAUACCGCCGUCGGAAAAUGAAUUUGUUGAGGAUUUGUUGGUGUAGCUGUUUGUGAAGAUGACAGGUCAAGGUUUAGUUGAUGAAGAAGGUGGUGAGGUGGGUUACAUUGGCUGUUGGUGGUGGAUUUUGAUAUAAAAGUGUCGAUUGAAAGUGGAUUUAAAAGUAAAUAGUUAGAAUAGUGGACUAUUGGUUGGGGCGCUGAUGGAUGUACAUAUCGCCCGUCGCUCUUGUUGUUGAGAUAAGAUAAGUCGUAACAAAGUAGGGGUAUUGGAAAAUGCACCUGGUGUAGU